This 74-nucleotide transfer RNA is filed under the name Leptolyngbya sp. FACHB-16. It matches the Rfam family "tRNA". Rfam says of the family: Transfer RNA (tRNA) molecules are approximately 80 nucleotides in length. Their secondary structure includes four short double-helical elements and three loops (D, anti-codon, and T loops). Lineage: Bacteria; Bacillati; Cyanobacteriota; Cyanophyceae; Leptolyngbyales; Leptolyngbyaceae. RNAcentral also lists the same sequence under 4 other names. The record is from Rfam by way of RNAcentral.
GAGGAUGUAGCUUAGCGGGUUAAAGCACCAGUCCGUCGAACUGGAUAUUGUAGGUUCAAAUCCCAUCACCCUCG